This 1059-nucleotide long non-coding RNA is filed under the name Gallus gallus (chicken). Its description in RNAcentral is "lncRNA (ENSGALG00010020441.1)". Lineage: Eukaryota; Metazoa; Chordata; Aves; Galliformes; Phasianidae. The record is from RNAcentral.
CAAACAUUUGCUGCUGGAUCGGUGUAAAAAGUAUGUGCUUGAUUCCUAACCACGAUGGAUUGAAGAGACAAAAGAAAAGAGCAGUGAGUCACGUUUUAUGUACUUUUUCAAUACCUUUUAAAUGCAACCAGUUCUACUUUCACCUUCAUAGUUCAACUAAUAUGGAACUCCAGAACAGAUUUGUUCUCAUGCAGGUGCUGGCAGGACACUUUAUAUUCACUGCAGCAACUGAGAGCACUGCCUGUUCUCACUGUAUCUCCCAGGCCACAAUCGCGGGUGUCAGAUGUGUUUUUGCUAACAAGACUGUGGAACUGGUGAGCAGAGAGCUUUCCCACCCUUCCCUUCUCCCAAGCAUCCGUCAAGCCGCAGUUUCAGAGCAGCCACACCCUUCUUGUUAUUGUUGAAGUCAAAUAUUAAAGGUCUGGCACUGGACUCAUUGACGUUCAGUGUUAGAGCUCCCGAAGCAGUAACAUUCUCAACACUCCUGGAUUUUCUCUAGUCACUUCAGCUCUUCCUGCAAUUUAUCACUGACUCCAUUGGCUGUGAUCUAUAGUUUCUGCCAUUGACAUCAUUGUACCUGAUGAGGCACAUAUGAAGAAUUCUGAACUAAUGGGAUGCCUAUUGGUGUAAAUAUGCUCCUCCUUACCUUCUGUCAGCAUCCUUUCUUUUUGGUAAAGUCAGUCUUUGGUCCUCAAUACCACAUCUGUCUUAAUGCUGGCCCAGAACACUGGAUGGCAAACACAUCUACAAUCACAAAAAUGCAUUAUUAGCACAAGUACAUUUGUCAAUACACUGAAAAUCAAGAAUAGAGAUCAUACUUGUAGCAGCCAGCUAAUGGCUGAUAUUUGGUACAUUUCUCAUGUAUCUAUUGUAGGGGCAUGAAAUUGGUUCUUCAUGGCUAAAAUGAAGAUUUUCCUCUAGGUCAGUCCCUGGGAAUUAUGCUUCGUGUCAUGAGAGUGACAUUUAUAUAUAUAAAUAUAUAUAUAUAGUGUAUAUAUAUAUAUAUAUUUUUUUUUUUUUGCAGGACUGACUGUGCUCUUAUAUCUUCGGUUGAGAUGC